UUUGAUUUUUUUUAUUUUUUAAGUUUCUUCCUUUUGCUUGAGGAGGACAGCUAAAGCACAAAUGCUAUUCUAAAUGACCCAAAUUGUUUUGGAUCUGUUGAUUAGUUUCCUGACAAAUGAUGUUGCAGUCUGGAUUGAAGCUCUAAAGAAAAAACCCAUGAAGUAUAACAACAAGGCUCAACUGUAUCUUCUGCUGUCUGCCAUGGAAACUCUCCUAUGAUAAGAUGUCAAAGGGUAGAAAAGCAGGGUGGAGAAAAUAGCCUGACUCAGCCAGAAGCAAAAUCCCAGGCUCAGGUGAACAUGUUCCCCAUCUGAUGCACUGUGGAAACAUGGAGGGAAACUGUAACAUAACAACAAAGCAGUAGUGAAUCCAAUUGCAAAUCAGUGUGUUCCCAGCGUGCCUUGCUGUUGUAUCCAGAAGAAGGACAGCAGAGAAAACAGAUGUCCAGGUGACCAGUGAAAUGCAUAAGCCAUUUCUUGUGGCUCAGAUAUUGUUUGCAGGAUCAAAAGGCCACCUAUUGUUGUGAAAUUCUGCAGACUGAAAUGUUGCUGUGUAUUUCCAGACACAAGGUUGCACUUCACUGAAACUUCAUAUUGGAAGUAAAUAUUCAGAACUUGAAAGAAAAACAGGUGAGUACUAAGAAAAGUGACCUAGAUUAUUCUAAAUGGUUAUUAAUAUUUUUAUUCCCACAAAAAUUAUUCCUCAUGUGUUCCUGAUUUAACUUCCCUGAUUUAGCAUGACUGUAUCCAUUUAAUAAGCAGGUUUCACUGUAAAAAUAAAAUGCAAGCAUAGAAACCUCCUGUUAUCUCUUUUUGCUCUCAUUUUUUAAAAUGCGUCUCUAUUACAUAUUUUCAAUGUAUUUUCUCAUUCAGCAUGAGAAAGGACUCAAGUGAAACCGAGACCAGAGCUUGGCAUUAGGUAUUGAUUUCACAGAGGUAUUGUAGCUGCUUUUAGCAUUUGCAUUUGGGAUUAAAAUGAUACAAUGUCCUUUUAUAGGAACAUUUUUGAUAGUUGCUUCUCUGCCUGUCAGUCAGUUCUCAUCCUCUAAUCAUUAAGGUUCAAGCAAUGAAUGUCAUUAGCAAAGUUGUAGAAAAGUACUACAAUAAGACCUUUUAGAAAUAAACUUGAAAUAAAAUAAUUUUUUAUUAUCCGAAAAGACCUUCUAACUGCAGAUAUAAUUAUCUUGCAUAAUGACAUUGCAAAUUCUUGUGCCAAGGAACAAAAUCAAAAAAAUUCACAAAGUAGCACAAUAUUAUGAGGCUUUGUACUAGAAUUUGGGUUUUAUUAUCCCCAUCUGUUCCUCUCUUGCACACGUGCUCUCACACUCACCUGCUCACACACAUGCACACUCACAUAUACA
This is a long non-coding RNA of Columba livia (rock pigeon), 1361 nucleotides long. RefSeq lists it as uncharacterized. The transcript is spliced from 3 exons. Lineage: Eukaryota; Metazoa; Chordata; Aves; Columbiformes; Columbidae. The record is from RefSeq and is a predicted model, not a curated record.